CGUGGCUUUUCCGAGCGUACCUGCAAAUGUAAAAUGAGAGCGAUGUCUAUCCUUCGCUUUCUGCUUGUACUGAUGGUUUGUGCUUCAAUUUUACCUGCGAAAGGACAAGAUAGAGCAGAAGCCGCAUCAGCCAGGGCUGCUGCUCGAGGUCCUUGGUGGUCCGGGAACAGUUUUGGAAGGCGGCGCUGCCCUGCAGGCCAAGUUUACAAGGAAUGCGAAAGCAGCUCCUGCGGCGACUGGAAAUGCUACCAGCUGUUUCAACGAGGUGCAAGAGCGUGCACUCAAGACUGCGCAAGCGGAUGCUUUUGUCGCUGGGGCCUGUUCAGACACGACAAUGGCAGAUGCGUACCAAUAUGGCGCUGUCCGAGGCAUGCGAAUCGAGCAGAGUAGUUGCGACAAAUGAGUGCGUGGCUGAUAUGUGCAUCUACUUAGUACACCACAUCAUGCUGAGCCAAUAAACCGAUUAUGCAGCCACA
Long non-coding RNA from Dermacentor andersoni, 476 nucleotides. RefSeq lists it as uncharacterized. The record is from RefSeq and is a predicted model, not a curated record. NCBI's taxonomy places the organism in Eukaryota, Metazoa, Arthropoda, Arachnida, Ixodida, Ixodidae.